RNAcentral lists this ribosomal RNA (1325 nucleotides) under metagenome. RNAcentral describes it as "bacterial LSU rRNA". It matches the Rfam family "Bacterial large subunit ribosomal RNA", at positions 1561 to 2925 of the family's 2925-position model. The record is from RNAcentral.
AGUGGAUGGGGAGCAACCUAGUUGUGCGUGUGUAAAGGUAGUGCCAAGAAAAGCGAUGAUCAUGUUGAAAAUCAAUUCCCGGUACCCGAAACCGACACAGGUGGGCAAGUAGAGAAUACUAAGGGGCGCGAGGUAACUCUCUCCAAGGAACUCGGCAAAAUGACCCCGUAACUUAGGGAGAAGGGGUGCCACCGAGAGGUGGUCGCAGUGAAGAGGCCCAGGCGACUGUUUAGCAAAAACAUAGGUCUCUGCAAACUCGAAAGAGGAGGUAUAGGGGCUGACGCCUGCCCAGUGCCGGAAGGUUAAAGAAGUUGGUCAGUUUUAGGAUGAAGCUAGCGACUGAAGCCCCGGUGAACGGCGGCCGUAACUAUAACGGUCCUAAGGUAGCGAAAUUCCUUGUCGGGUAAGUUCCGACCCGCACGAAAGGCGUAACGAUCUGGGCGCUGUCUCGGAGAGAGGCUCGGCGAAAUAGGAUUGUCUGUGAAGAUACGGACUACCUGCAUUUGGACAGAAAGACCCUAUGAAGCUUUACUAUAGCUUGGAAUUGUGUUCGGGCUUCCUGUGCGCAGGAUAGGUGGGAGGCGUAGAAGGUAUUCUUGUGGGGAUACUGGAGCCAACGGUGAGAUACCACUCUCAGGAGGCUAGAAUUCUAACUUAAUUAAGGACAGUUUCAGGUGGGUAGUUUGACUGGGGCGGUCGCCUCCAAAAAGGUAACGGAGGCGUACAAAGGUUCCCUCAGACUGGUUGGAAAUCAGUCGAAGAGUGCAAAGGCAGAAGGGAGCUUGACUGCGAGAAGUACAGUUCGAGCAGGGUGGAAACACGGUCUUAGUGAUCCGACGGUGCUGUGUGGAAGGGCCGUCGCUCAACGGAUAAAAGUUACUCUAGGAUAACAGGCUGAUCUCCCCCAAGAGUUCACAUCGACGGGGAGGUUUGGCACCUCGAUGUCGGCUCAUCGCAACCUGGGGCGGAAGUACGUCCCAAGGGUUGGGCUGUUCGCCCAUUAAAGCGGUACGUGAGCUGGGUUCAGAACGUCGUGAGACAGUUCGGUCCAUAUCCGAUGUAGGCGUGAGAAUAUUGAGAGGAGCCUUCCUUAGUACGAGAGGACCGGGAAGGACGCACCGCUGGUGUACCUGUUAUGGUGCCAAUUGUAAACGCAGGGUAGCCAAGUGCGGAGAGGAUAACCGCUGAAAGCAUCUAAGUGGGAAGCCCACCUCAAGAUGAGUAUUCUGGUGUAAGGUCACGGGAAGACGACCCGUAAAUAGGCACGAGGUGGAAGUGCAGAGAUGUAUGAAGCCGAAGUGUACUAAUAGACCGUCGGCUUGACC